GUGACCCUUUACCUAAAACCAAACAUUACACCAUUUCUUUUCCCUAGAGCGUUAAAACAUUCCGUUCUUAAUAUCCAAUCACAAUUUUUUUUUUAAAAAUCACACAUAAACACAUUUUAACUCAUCAAAUAAGAUGACAAUAAAGUAUCAAUCAAUCAAACUCUUUUAAACGAAAACCUUGUUCUUGAUUAGUUAUCUACACUUCACAAACAUCCAUCAAUCCAAAAACCCUAAUUUUCUUGCAAAAAGAAAAAAUCUCCCUAUAAAUUUUGAUAUCAAGAAACCUAAAACAAGAUUAAAAUUAAUUAAAUUACUCAUCUUUAAUUCGAAGAGAAAAAUAGUUCCCAAAUUCAACUGCUACUCAGACACCAAAAAGCUUCAAAUCCAACGAAAGUGGAAGGAGAUUACAAAUAUUUUUUGAAAAAAGAGGAUCAGAAAGAGAGAGCGUGUACGAGACGCCACAACGGGGAGAUAACGAUGAAGGAUUUUACCGAUCGAACUCAGAGAUGGUGAUACACUGAUACUUUGAUAGAGAGAACAUAGAAGAGAGUAGGCUGCCGCUGCUCUUCAGAGAAAAAAAAGAAGAAAAAAAAUGAUGAGUGAACUGAUUCUCUCAAUAGUGUAAACCUAGGAUAGACGUCUGCGAUUAAAACCUGAUCAAGAUUUAAACGGCUGGUAUUAACCAGUUCUUACGGUCCGGUACAAGCCGGUACCCCUAAGAACCUUUCCAUGUACCUAGUCCGGUUCUCAUAUUCAGUCCCGGUCGCUAUACCGCCUAGACCGGUUCCGGUUCGGUUUUUUCGGUUUCAGAUCGGUACAGGGACAAGAGACCGGUUCUUGUGCAGCCUUAAUUCCAAGUAUUUGGAAAAACACUAGCAUCCAAAUGCAGUGUCGGAUUGCUGAAUCCGACAGGUUAUUUUUGUAAUUUGUGGGGUGAAUUACCCCACUCCUCCUUUUCCUUCAGUACACAUCCCCGGAUUCGCCCAAAAACCCCGGCGGUUCUCUCACUAUCUCCCCUCGACUGUUCAAACCCCAAAACCUGCUCAUAAUUCUUCCCCUCAACAUCAAAAAUGGAAACCCUAGAAGAGGAAAUCAAAAUCCAACAUUUCACUGAAUGGUUACAAGCAAACAAAGUCGAAUUACGUGGUUGUAAAAUCAAAUACUGUGGACCUAAUAAAGGAUUCGGCCUUUUCUCUUCGUCUCAAAACAGUGCUAGUCCAAUUUUACUAGUUGUACCAUUAGAUUUAUCAAUCACACCAAUGAGUGUACUGCAAGAUCCAAGUUUAGGGCUUAAAUGUAGAGCUAUGUUUGAACAAGGGGAAGUUGAUGAUCGUUUCUUAAUGAUUUUGUUUUUAACUGUCGAACGUCUUCGCAAGAAUUCAUUGUGGAAACCGUAUAUUGAUAUGUUACCAGUCACAUUUGGGAAUCCACUUUGGUUUAAUGAGGAUGAGAUUUUGGAGCUUAAAGGGACUACUUUGUAUAAAGCUACCCAAAUGCAGAAAAAAAAGUUGGAGGGUUUGUGUGAAGAGAAAGUGAAGGAUUUGGUUAUGGAGAUACUUGAUGGGGAAGCAGAAAGUGAAGUGCGUUACGAGGACUUCCUUUGGGCGAAUUCCAUAUUCUGGACACGUGCUCUAAAUAUACCUUUCCCACAUUCUUACGUAUUCCCGAAAACCUCAGAAGAAGAAAAUUGCUCUGUGCCCCUGGACGCAGAAGGUGGCAUUAUCACUUCAGAAGUUUCACCUCCUUCCGUGGAUGAAAAUGGCAGCCAUGGUUGUGAACUUGCAAGCGGAGUUGGUGCGAACGCAGUAAACUCAGCACAAGGAGAAUCCGUUUGGGUCGAGGGGCUUAUUCCUGGCAUUGAUUUCUGCAAUCAUGUAAUAAAGUCUACAACAACAUGGGAGGUUGAUAGUCUGGGAUUGACAACUGGAGUUCCUGCAUCUAUGUACCUCUUGUCCGCUGAACAGGGUACAAUCCGAAAUGAGGAAGAGAUAUGCAUAAGUUACGGUGAUAAAGGGAAUGAGGAGCUACUGUACCUUUAUGGAUUUGUUAUUGAUGAUAACCCGGAUGACUAUCUCAUGGUCCAUUAUCCAGUAGAGGCAAUUCAGAGUGUUCCUUUUGCUGAUUCAAAGGCACAGCUUCUAGAAGUACAGAAGGGUGAAAUGAGAUGUCUUUUGCCGAGAAAUUUAUUAGAACGUGGUUUCUUCUCAGAUAGCUCCCCUCAAAAUGAAGAUAGUGUUCAACGUGGACAUGAUAGGAUGUGCAGCUUUAGUUGGUCUGGUCAGCGUAAGAUUCCUUCAUAUCUGAAUAAACUAGUUUUUCCGGAGGAAUUCUUAACUAGUUUACGGACCAUAGCCAUGAAUGAGGAAGAGCUGUUGAAAGUUUCAUCACUGCUGGAAGAGCUUGUUGGAAACGAAGAGGAGAAGCAACCAUCCGAUACCGAAGUUAAGGCAGCAAUAUGGGAGGUUUGUGGGGAUUCAGGUGCCUUGCAGUUGCUUGUCGAUCUUCUUCAAACCAACACUUUGUUUGUGAUUUCAACAAUUCGUUGUCAACAUCGAUAUAUGAGAAGUAACCUUGACAACCACUUAACUAACAAGAAGGAUGAUGGAGCUUGAAGAUGGUUCUGGAUCAGAAGCUUCUGAUACCGAGUUGCUUGAAAAUGCUCGUGUAAUAGAAAUUCCCGAAGGGAGUAUGAGGCACGAUGCAGGAAAUGUUACAAGUGCAGAGAAGUUGAUCAGCAGAAACAGCUGGUGCAGUAUAAUUUAUCGACGAGGGCAAAAGCAACUUACACGCCUGUUCUUAAAGGAAGCUGAGCAUGCCCUGCACCUAUGCUUAAGUGAACAGAAUUGAGUAUAAAAGCAAAUAGCUUCCAAUAUUUUCAGUCGGAAUCUAAGUAUUGAUAGAAUUCACCAUUUCUAGUUUAGGUAUAGUUCAAGGUUAGAUCAUUUAGUUUUGGAAGAAACUUUUUGUUCAACUUUAAAACCUUCGACUGAGAUGUGGAUCAGCCCUUGGUUGUUGUAUGAACGUAUUAGAAGUCAGAUCAGCAAACUCUUUGGUCUUUAUCCAAACUAAUAAAGCAAGUGAAUAUACUACAAAACCUCUCUUUCAUUGCAUUAGUCA
Molecule: RNA transcript, 3117 nt
Organism: Papaver somniferum (opium poppy)
Lineage: Eukaryota; Viridiplantae; Streptophyta; Magnoliopsida; Ranunculales; Papaveraceae
Exons: 15
Source: RefSeq, a predicted model, not a curated record